UACAGAGGUCCCAAGCGUUGUUCGGAUUCACUGGGCGUAAAGGGUGCGUAGGUGGCCAGGUAAGUUCGGUGUGAAAGCUCGGAGCUUAACUCCGAAAUGUCAUUGAAUACUAUCUGGCUAGAGGGUCGGAGGGGAGACUGGAAUUCUCGGUGUAGCAGUGAAAUGCGUAGAUAUCGAGAGGAACACCAGUGGCGAAGGCGAGUCUCUGGACGACACCUGACACUGAGGCACGAAAGCGUGGGGAUCAAACAGG
This 253-nucleotide ribosomal RNA is filed under the name uncultured bacterium. RNAcentral describes it as "partial 16S ribosomal RNA". It matches the Rfam family "Bacterial small subunit ribosomal RNA", at positions 524 to 776 of the family's 1533-position model. The record is from RNAcentral.